GGAUUAGCUCAGUGGAAGAGCACUUGCCUAGCACAUGCAAGGCCCUGGGUUCAAUUCUCAGCACCA
RNAcentral lists this transfer RNA (66 nucleotides) under Marmota monax (woodchuck). RNAcentral describes it as "tRNA.Ala". Lineage: Eukaryota; Metazoa; Chordata; Mammalia; Rodentia; Sciuridae. The record is from RNAcentral.